AGCAGCUCUGAGAGGAAGACAAGGAAAACAUCCAACCCGGACUCUCUCACGAGCUUGAGUGUGUGUUCUGGAGCUGAAGGAUGCACGGUUGUUAAGCCCCUGUUCUUUUCCGUUGUUUAAUCUAAAGUUCUUUGGAAUAAAAACCUCUCUGCCAAGUAGGACUUGGCUUUAUGCUUAACAUGCUUUGACUGUUGAAGAGGCCUUUGGCACACAUUGAAGGGAUGGUGAUGGAGAUGCCAAUCCAUGGAACCAGGUGGCACAGCUAUGUUGGUAGCUAUACCAGAGGCUUCUUGGCAAAGAUUCCUCCAGGGAAGGAAGGUACCAUCAGAGAACCAUGCAUGAAGACAGGGAAGAAAUGAUUGGAAUCAUGAAGCAUUAAACUGGAAGGAAGCCUUAGGCAAACCUAACUCAUGAGAAAACGGACACCCAAAUGUUACCAAGUUAGUACCAAAACCAAGGCUGGUAUUUGCAUAAAUAUGCUUUUCUAUCUAGUAUCAAGUCCUUCUUAGUAUUGUUAAUAGGCCUUAAGCUUGGUUUGUCUACAUAGAAAUCAAAAUGACAAUGCCAACCCAUUAAAAAAGUAAAAGAAGUCCCAAACAGUUCUGAUUUCCUCCAAUGUGACUAUUUCUGAUAUAUUAUAAAAUAACAAAAAUCAAAUUCAAAGAAUGAACUUUUUGCCCCUAUUUUGCUAAUAAUGGUUUAAGUAAAUGGAUGGUCUUUCUAAUCUUUCCCAAAGGCCCCUAGAUUAAUUGUUAGUGACAUUGCUAGGAAACUCCUAUGAAAUCUUGUAGGUCCAUGGAAACCAUGCAUCAGACUCUAACAUUUUGUGCAGAUCACAUGCUAUCAUGUGAAAAUGUUCUGUUCCAAAGUCCCCUGGAACUUGGGAUGCAUUUUUCCUAGAGAACAAUGUUCCAAGCAAAGGUCCAUUGGAUUCCCCAAGUGGCUGACUGCAACGAAUGUGCUCAGAAGCUGCUGAGGCUUAAACUUUCAGCCCUUCGAGAGGCAGCUCAAGAGACUGGGAAACUGGAAGAGGCUCUGCUAUAUCCUGUCCUGCUUUUGGGAGAUCUUGGCAGCCCUUGCGUAGAGAGAGGGAGGAGGAUUGGUGGGUGUGGGGGUUUGGUGGGGAAGCUAAGGUCCUCCUUUGGAAACAACGGAGGAAGGCUCCAUGUUAAAGGGGAAAGGAGGAGACAGGAAACCUCCAUUAAAUUGUUUAUAAGUUGAAUUGUUUCUAAAGCCGGAACUGACAACUGUGUUUUUACAAAGUAGAAAAGGAUGCAACAAGUUCCACAGUCCUCAUUCAGGCAUAUACAGUGCUUAAGAAGAUCAGAGUGCAGUUUUCUUUGGGCAGGUAGGUUUCAAAAAAAAAUUGAGUGUUGACACAGUGUAUAAAUUCUUCCAAUUUGAAAAUUAUUGAGGGUUAUUACUGAUGCCAUUUGAACAGUACCAUAACAUUCAUGGAUUGUGGAAUGGCUCAGAUCGCUGCCUAAGCAAGCAAUUAUUUUGUUUUUGCUUCUGCAGUUAGACAAGGAAGAAUGUUUUGCAUUCUAUCAGCUGGGCUUUUAUUGUUUUUCAUGUUAGAACAAAUGUUCUUUGAGAGGUGGGGUCUUGUUUGAGGAAAUGUCAAGUUGUCCAGUUUAGAUUUAUUGGUGAUUGUGGCAGGUGCUAAAUGUUUCAAGAAGUUGGUGUAUGCACUUUUUUCUUCUCCCCUGGCAGACUUUCCUGGAAUCAGGAUAUGUUCUCCGCAGGAAGAAAGCAAAUGUGCUAUACUUAAAAUUCAGUGUAUGACAGAAACACCUAAAGACUUAUAGUAGAUGAAUUUACAUCAUCUGAAAGGUAUUUUAUGCACCAAUUUCCAAAGUUAGGGAAGGCCACUAAGCAAGGGACUGCCACUUAAGACACAGGCAUUGUCUAUGGCGUCUGGGUGGGCCAAAGAGGCAAGAUUUGUGGGAAUAUCAUGAGAGUUGCUGGCUCUAAUAUAUUUGCUCUCCAAUGUCCAGAAAUUCCUGCCUUUGGAAUAGUCCUUGGAGAGACAGUUUUCUCCAACUUAGCCCCCCUUUCCCACUAUGCAUCCUCACGAGCAUGUCCAAUUCAAUGUGAACUUUUGGCAAGGAAUCCUUUGGAGGUUUAUGUUUUAUGUUAAAAAUUGGUAGGAACUUUGCGUCUUUCCCAUCAUAUAUUCAUGUUUUAUGUAACAUAAAAUUAUCACCCAUCUGCAAAUCUUUGAGUGGAAAUGAAACUUCAGGAGGAUGGACCAUAUCUCUUCCAUGGUCCUGGCCACUCUGCAGAAUACUCUCUUGUCUUUUCAGGAGCAGGGGGAUCCUACUUUGAGAAAUAAGGACUUCAGUCAUUGUUCAAUUGGUAGUUUGGUCAUUGUCCUUUGAAAAUGUACAAAUCCUCUCCUGGAACAGUAAUACAUGAGUUUAUUUUUACAUUAGAAGGAGGUACUUUAUCAAAGGAGUUCAUUGUCAUUUUGGAAAACAAUAUUCUGGGCUUGGAAAGAUUGUAAACUAGAAAAUCUUUGGUGAUGAAAAAGGGCAAGAUUUGAAAGUGUGGGAUACUGUGCCUAAAGGGUAACCUUACUUGGGGAUGUGGGGAAUCUGGGCUGAAGGGGGAGGAUUUGGGUGGGGCUGGAGGAGAAGCAGAUUCAGAGGAAAAGGAAGGAGGUGUAAGCCACAAGGUUUGCCCAAGGUUUUCUUAAUGGCUUUCCAUUCUCCCAAAUCUAUUUCCAAUCUCGGUUUCAGUCCUCAGCUCCAUCUCCAUCUCCUCUGUCCAAGUGGCAGCAUCUCCAGCUUGGAGAAUCAAGUUCACAUGUCCAAAAUGCCAACUCACCUGUGAGAAACUUUGCCUACUCCUUAUCAUGCAGCAUUUCUGUCUGCUCAUUCCUGUGUGGCUUCAUCCCUCACACUGCCAACUAUCUGUCUCCCUGUUCCAGCAAGAAACUGGGGAGUCUUUGUCUUUUCCUUCUUCCCAACCUCCCAUGCACAUGUUUAGUUGAUCAUGAAAUCUGACCAGGCUUAAUGUAACCUUUGAAACAUUCUUUUCUUCUCUGUAGAAAUUUCAGUUCCUGCAGGAAACUGAGCACGCAAAGGGCUGAAAGGUGGAGAGUUUAAUGAACAGUUGGCUUCCAGAGUAGGGAGGAGGAAGCUAAGUAACAGUGGCAAGGUUGGAUGCAGUGGCUGACAUCUGUAAUUCCAGUACUUUGGGAGGCCAAGGCGGCCAGAUCACCUGAGUUCAGGAGUUCAAGACCAGCCUGACCAACAUGGUGAAACCCUGUCUCUACUAAAAAUAUAAAAAUUAGCCCGUGUGGUGGUGGGCACCUGUAUUCCCAGCUACUCGGGAGGCUGAGGCAGGAGAAUCACUUGAACCCAGGAGGCAGAGGUUGCAGUGAGCCAAGAUCAAGCUGCUGCACUCCAGCCUGGGUGACAGAGUGAGACUCCAUCUCAAAACAAACAAACAAAAAAACAAAACAGUUGCAAAAGACCCAAAGGCAGCUGCAGGAUGCAUUUACCAUCCUUAGGAGAAUAAGGUGCAAGGGUCGGCAGUGGGAAUUCCUAAAAGUACCUAAUCUCUAAGCUUGGAGCUGUGGAAGAAGGGCCACCUGAUGGGAGCUAAAACAGGGGAUGCAGCCGCUGCCAGGACUCUGGAAAGGUAGGGGCAGUUAGGGACGAAAGCCAGGGAGACAAUCACCACCAUCAUUUGCUCUCCCUCUUCUCAUCCUCUGAUCUCCUGCCAGUGCUUCCAAUUGGCAAAGGCCAACCAAAAAUCACAGGGCAAAGGAGUUCGGUGCUGUAGGCCACAGAUGGGAGGCAGGCUCCUGAGGUACAAAGAGUGCAGAGAGGGGAGCAAAACGGAUCUGGUAGGGUAAGCAACAAAUGGAGAAUGGCCAGCCCAGAUUCAGCCCCUCCCUUCAACACCUGAAAAUUCGACCUGAAUUCAAGACCAUUAUUU
RNAcentral lists this long non-coding RNA (3948 nucleotides) under Macaca mulatta (Rhesus monkey). RNAcentral describes it as "lncRNA (ENSMMUG00000061430.1)". The record is from RNAcentral. Lineage: Eukaryota; Metazoa; Chordata; Mammalia; Primates; Cercopithecidae.